CCUACGGGAGGCAGCAGUGGGGAAUUUUGGACAAUGGGCGCAAGCCUGAUCCAGCAAUGCCGCGUGCAGGAUGAAGGCCUUCGGGUUGUAAACUGCUUUUGUACGGAACGAAACGGUGAGCUCUAAUACAGUUUGCUAAUGACGGUACCGUAAGAAUAAGCACCGGCUAACUACGUGCCAGCAGCCGCGGUAAUACGUAGGGUGCGAGCGUUAAUCGGAAUUACUGGGCGUAAAGCGUGCGCAGGCGGUGAUGUAAGACAGAUGUGAAAUGCCCGGGCUCAACCUGGGACCUGCAUUUGUGACUGCAUCGCUAGAGUACGGUAGAGGGGGAUGGAAUUCCGCGUGUAGCAGUGAAAUGCGUAGAUAUGCGGAGGAACACCGAUGGCGAAGGCAAUCCCCUGGACCUGUACUGACGCUCAUGCACGAAAGCGUGGGGAGCAAACAGGAUUAGAUACCCUGGUAGUCCACGCCCUAAACGAUGUCAACUGGUUGUUGGGUCUUCACUGACUCAGUAACGAAGCUAACGCGUGAAGUUGACCGCCUGGGGAGUACGGCCGCGAAGGUUGAAACGUUAAAGGAAUUGACGG
Molecule: ribosomal RNA, 587 nt
Filed under: uncultured bacterium
Lineage: Bacteria
Description: bacterial SSU rRNA
Rfam family: Bacterial small subunit ribosomal RNA
Source: RNAcentral